GAUGAACGCUGGCGGCGUGCUUAACACAUGCAAGUCGAACGAGAAGUGAAGACGGAAACCUUCGGGCGGAAGGCUUUAUUUCGAGUGGCGGACGGGUGAGUAACGCGUGGGUAACCUGCCUCAUACAGGGGGAUAACAGUUGGAAACGACUGUUAAUACCGCAUAAGACCACAGCACCGCAUGGUGCGGGGGUAAAAACUCCGGUGGUAUGAGAUGGACCCGCGUUCGAUUAGCCAGUUGGCGGGGUAACGGCCCACCAAAGCGACGAUCGAUAGCCGAUCUGAGAGGAUGACCGGCCACAUUGGGACUGAGACACGGCCCAAACUCCCACGGGAAGCAGCAGUGGGGAAUAUUGCACAAUGGGGGAAACCCUGAUGCAGCGACGCCGCGUGAGUGAAGAAGUAUUUCGGUAUGUAAAGCUCUAUCAGCAGGGAAGAAAAUGACGGUACCUGAGGAAGAAGCCCCGGCUAACUACGUG
This 478-nucleotide ribosomal RNA is filed under the name uncultured bacterium. RNAcentral describes it as "partial 16S ribosomal RNA". It matches the Rfam family "Bacterial small subunit ribosomal RNA", at positions 28 to 507 of the family's 1533-position model. The record is from RNAcentral.